This 274-nucleotide ribosomal RNA is filed under the name uncultured bacterium. RNAcentral's name for it is "partial 16S ribosomal RNA". It matches the Rfam family "Bacterial small subunit ribosomal RNA", at positions 523 to 796 of the family's 1533-position model. The record is from RNAcentral.
AUACGGAGGGUGUGAGCGUUGUUCGGAAUUAUUGGGCGUAAAGAGCAUGUAGGCGGUCUGUUAAGUCUGGUGUGAAAGCCCGGGGCUCAACCCCGGAAGUGCAUUGGAUACUGGCAGACUUGAGUAUGGGAGAGGAAAGCGGAAUUCCGAGUGUAGGAGUGAAAUCCGUAGAUAUUCGGAGGAACACCAGUGGCGAAGGCGGCUUUCUGGACCAAUACUGACGCUGAGAUGCGAAAGCGUGGGGAGCAAACAGGAUUAGAAACCCCAGUAGUCC